Molecule: long non-coding RNA, 560 nt
Organism: Selaginella moellendorffii
Lineage: Eukaryota; Viridiplantae; Streptophyta; Lycopodiopsida; Selaginellales; Selaginellaceae
Exons: 4
Source: RefSeq, a predicted model, not a curated record
AGGACGAGGAGGAAGGCGAGGAGUGCUGUAUGAGGUACUGUGUAGUGGACGAGGAUGAGUACGUGAUCACGACGCGCGAGGCUGUGAAGCGCCAUUCAUCGGCCAAGGAUUUGAGCGUGGUGAAAGGGACGACGCUUGGGGAGAUCUUGGAGCGCAUUAGGGCAGCGGUGGGGACUCGCGAGGGCACGGACACUGCCUUGUUUGCUCUGUCGAGCUUGAGUUGGAUCCCAAUCCGGGAGGAGUAUUUGCAGCGACGGAUCGACAAGGGGCUCUAUCUCAAGGUCGUGAGGGCGCCAAUCACCGAGAUAAGCUAUGGCUUGGCAGAGCGAUAUGUUGUUCAUGAUGGGAGAAGGCAGCACGAGGAAGAAACUUGGCAAUUUUUUUGACGUCCGAGCUUACGUUAUUGUUGGUUGAAUCAGACAACUGAUCUAUCUGAUGCUCCUUGUCGAAUUCUUUCGCAAGUGAAGUCGAGCAAAGAGGUGCCACGAAGCUGGAGGUGAAAACAAAAUGAUAGAGUUGGAAUGGAAAACAAAACAAUAAUUUUAAGCUUUUUCGUUACA